Molecule: long non-coding RNA, 126 nt
Organism: Bactrocera tryoni
Lineage: Eukaryota; Metazoa; Arthropoda; Insecta; Diptera; Tephritidae
Exons: 2
Source: RefSeq, a predicted model, not a curated record
ACGUCAUCCAAUACCAGCAGAAUGUCGCCUGGCAAUAACAUUAGUAUAUUUGGCCCAUGGAGUUUGCCGCCAGAUGUUGGCUUGGGCUUUUCGAGUAGGAGUAUCAACAAUUGGCAAAAUUUUAUU